ACACACUUACACACUCUAGUGUCUGUCAGGUGUCAAGCUCGCACACCUGCCUGAGCUUCUAGUCACUCGCACCUGUUCUGCAUCCAAUUAGAGGGCCUUUAUUAGUCCAUCGCACCCUCCAGCCAUUGUCGGUUCGUCUGUUUUUCUCUAUGGAAGAAACCACCGAUCUCUGCGGGUUGAAGCCAAGCCAAGCCAAUCUCCAAAAGCCAAGCUAAGUGGAAACUGCUGUUGAUGUACGCUCAGACUGUCCGACAGCGCUCAGACGUCACUGCGAGAACUGUGUGUGGGACCUUCGCUCAGCUCCACAGCAGUACCGAAAAGAGCUGAAUCACGUCACAAUAACAACAGGGCCCUGCUUCAAGCUUUGAUUGAUGGAUUUCUGCAGGCAUCCUACCCUCCUCCCAUCAUUGCCUUCCCUGCAUGCAUGGAGACUGAAUGUGCGGUGAUAAUGGAGUGAGCUUUAAUGCUGGCUUGAAAAAUGCUUUUCAUGACCAAAAUAAGAGACUUCUGAGGACUUGACAUCAAGGACUCUUUUUAAAUCAGUUGUUCAGAUGUUUUCAGAGCUCAGCUUUCAGCAGUAGUAGAGGACUGUUCAUGUGGAUGGAGCAAACCGAAAUCCAUCUUCAUAGCAGAUUUUGUUCAAGCUCAGGUGGGUAGAAAGGAUGCUAACCUGUGCAACAGCCAUGAGACAACUUUUAACAUGUCCUCCGCAUUACUUAAAGGGGCAUCCAACCCACCCAGUGCUUGCACUUCCGACAAACUAUGGAGCAAAACAGUGAAUUAAAUAAACAAGAUGUAAUGACUCA
Non-coding RNA from Oryzias latipes (Japanese medaka), 806 nucleotides. NCBI's taxonomy places the organism in Eukaryota, Metazoa, Chordata, Actinopteri, Beloniformes, Adrianichthyidae. The record is from RefSeq and is a predicted model, not a curated record.